UCGGGAAUUUUGGGCAAUGGGCGAAAGCCUGACCCAGCAACAUCGCGUGGAGGAAGAAGUAUCUCGGUAUGUAAACUCCGAAAGUAUGAGAAGAAUAAAUGACGGUAUCAUAUAUAAGCUCCGGCUAACUCCGUGCCAGCAGCCGCGGUAAUACGGAGGGAGCAAGCGUUGUUCGGAUUUACUGGGCGUAAAGGGCGCGUAGGCGGUUAAUUAAGUUAGUUGUUAAAUCUCCGAGCUUAACUCGGAACUGUCAACUAAUACUGAUAAACUAGAGUGCAGAAGAGGCAACCGGAAUUCUUGGUGUAGCGGUGAAAUGCGUAGAUAUCAAGAGGAACACCUGUGGCGAAGGCGGGUUGCUGGGCUGACACUGACGCUGAGGCGCGAAAGCUAGGGUAGCAAA
This 400-nucleotide ribosomal RNA is filed under the name uncultured bacterium. Its description in RNAcentral is "bacterial SSU rRNA". It matches the Rfam family "Bacterial small subunit ribosomal RNA", at positions 355 to 772 of the family's 1533-position model. The record is from RNAcentral.